GAACAAUAGUCUGCCGGAGAAGGGCACGGCUGAUUUGGCAGUUACCAUUUCACUGAGAGUGCUGCUUUCAUGUUCUUUGCUCUCUUUGUACAAGAGGCUGAUAUGAGCACUGGGGCCAGCUGCCUCUCUCAGGGCCCCUACUCCACCACCCAGACUGCCUCUGGAGGACCCUUCAGAGCCAGCAGAUGAAGCUUCCUAUCUUCCCUGAGGUGUAAAAUGGAUGUUUUUAAGAUCUACUCCUGUCUAAUGAUGGGUUUCAUAGCAUCACAAGUGUCCCUCUUCUACUGUGGCAGCAAUUAAACUUCACACCAGCUCUGUGAGGGCACAGCUAUAGAAAGCCCGCCUCAGAUUUUAUCUCAUGUGCACUCACCCACCUCAGACAGACACCACUUAUUUCCUGUCAGCUUGGACCACCACUCACCUAUUGGCCAUUGGCAUUCUUUUCCGGUACUGCUCCUCACUCGCCGCCUGCCCACCCACCAUUGGCCUCCUCUCGGACCAAGGUCUCUCCUACUACCUCCUCCUCUGCCCGACUAGCUUGGAUUCCAAGGAUCUCAUCACUACUUUGUGUACACGCUACCUGACACAUUCUCCCUGGACACUCUACCCCGUCUAACUGCCCUCACCUCUUUUGCAGAUUUGCCCAACCCCUUGCUGCCUGUUUCUGCUCCUCUGACCAGUCUCUUAGCCCAGUUCGGAAGAUUCUUGUGUUAAGAUUUUCCCUUUUGCCAAGACUCAUGUCUAUGCUUUCACUCACUUUAAUUACCAGUGCUUGCUGUAGGUUAUGUCGUGUAAAUACUUUCCUGAUUGA
Molecule: long non-coding RNA, 811 nt
Organism: Oreochromis niloticus (Nile tilapia)
Lineage: Eukaryota; Metazoa; Chordata; Actinopteri; Cichliformes; Cichlidae
Exons: 4
Source: RefSeq, a predicted model, not a curated record